CUUCUUUAUUAAUUUACUAGUUAGUAACUUAGGCUAGUGUUAAUUACUUUAAGUUUAAUCUAAUAAAACAACUGUAAUGGGUACUUUGAUUAUCCAAAUCCUCUGUUUGUGUUUUACUCUAGCCUCUAGGUAUUCCUGCCAGCUAAAGCCUAAACUAAAGUUGGCAGAUAAGUCUCCCAUUAUCACUGAUGUCAAUCAUGAGUAGUUUACUCACUGUUAGUGUUGUUGUUAACAUUACACGACCCGACAAAGACACAACUAUGCUAGAAAAUUCUUAAGAAAUAUUUUUGCCUUUCCUAAAUCAACCUCAAAGUCAAUCGAAUGUCUUGUUUACAAAUGUACUUCUCUACUACAACAUAAGUUUUAGGACUAAUAUGCAAAAUCUUGUAUUUGGAAGCCAGGAAACAAUGGGCUGGAUUUAUACCUGUGGAGGUCCUUAACUCUGUUCAAACUCAUAAUACAGUGGUCCCCCUCUCUAACGACUGACCUUACAGCCAGUCUAUCAAAGUCGUAUCUGCGGGGAUGUCGUUAGGAAGGGGACGGGCCAUGGGGCCAUUGCCUACAGUCAGCCAGUCAUCCUUAGCCAGAAUCAAUC
Molecule: long non-coding RNA, 595 nt
Organism: Limulus polyphemus (Atlantic horseshoe crab)
Lineage: Eukaryota; Metazoa; Arthropoda; Merostomata; Xiphosura; Limulidae
Exons: 3
Source: RefSeq, a predicted model, not a curated record